GACGAACGCUGGCGGCGUGCUUAACACAUGCAAGUCGAGCGGAGCGGCGAACGGGUGAGUAACGCGUGAGUAACUGCCCCCCUCCCUGGGAUAACAGUUGAAAACGGCUGCUAAUACCGGAUAGCGGGGGAUGACUCGCGUCCUAUCAGCUUGUUGGUUGGGUAGUGGCCUACCAAGGCGACGACGGGUAGCCGGCCUGAGCGGGCGACCGGGCACAGUGGGCUAAGAGACGGCCCAAACUCCUACGGGAGGCAGCAGUGGGGAAUAUUGCACAAUGGGGGAAACCCUAAUGCAGCAACGCCGCGUGCGGGAUGACGGCCUUCGGGUUGUAAACCGCUUUCAGCCAUGACGCGGUAGUGGCAGAAGAAGCACCGGCUAACUACGUGCCAGCCGCCGCGGUAAUUC
RNAcentral lists this ribosomal RNA (405 nucleotides) under uncultured bacterium. Its description in RNAcentral is "partial 16S ribosomal RNA". It matches the Rfam family "Bacterial small subunit ribosomal RNA", at positions 28 to 526 of the family's 1533-position model. The record is from RNAcentral.